Molecule: non-coding RNA, 500 nt
Organism: Streptomyces sp. RSD-27
Lineage: Bacteria; Bacillati; Actinomycetota; Actinomycetes; Kitasatosporales; Streptomycetaceae
Source: Rfam
CGGGCGGUGUACUCCCAGAUGGCCUCGUCGUCGGUGAGGGCGUCCUCGCCGAAGUAGGCGCCGUCGGCGACGGUGCGCAGCACGGCGUCGUCGCCGUAGGGGCCGGGCCCGAUCUGGUCGAUGCGGCCGUGGGCGAGGAGGAAGACCUGGUCGGCGGGGCUGCCGAAGGAGGUGAGCUCCUGGCCGGCCUCGAAGUCGACCUGCCGGCAGCGCGCGGCGAGUUCGGUGAGGACCUCCUCGUCGGCGUAGUCGCGCAGCAGGGGCAGCUCGCCCAGUUCGGCGGGGAUGACCUGGACCCGGCUGCCCGUCUUGACGAACUCCACGACGCCGUUGCCGACGGAGUAGCUGAGGCGGCGGUUGAGGCGGUAGGUGCCGCCCUGCACGGAGACCCACGGGAGCAUCCGCAGCAGCCACCGCGAGGUGAUCUCCUGCAUCUGCGGGGCGGACUUGGUGGUGCUGGCCAAGUUCCGCGCGGCCGCGGUGCCGAGACUGCGCUGCGG